AGAAUCAACGCUGGCGGCGUGCCUAACACAUGCAAGUCGAACGAGAAAGUGGAGCAAUCCAUGAGUAAAGUGGCGACCGGGUGAGUAACACGUGACUAACCUACCUUCGAGUGGGGGAUAACCUCGGGAAACCGAGGCUAAUACCGCAUAACAUCGCAAGAUCAAAGCAGCAAUGCGCUGGAAGAGGGGGUCGGCGGCUGAUUAGCUAGUUGGCGGGGUAACGGCCCACCAAGGCGAAGAUCGGUA
Molecule: ribosomal RNA, 246 nt
Filed under: uncultured bacterium
Lineage: Bacteria
Description: partial small subunit ribosomal RNA
Rfam family: Bacterial small subunit ribosomal RNA
Source: RNAcentral